UUAUAGAGAGCUCUUGCUCCCUGUAUGUUAUUACCACAUUGAUAUUUUGUUCCAUGUUGCUUCCACCACUGAUAAAGUGGUGGGAGGUUUAUUCAAACUAUUCAUUUUGCUUAGGCUUUUGCUCUGUCUGAAUGUGAGGGAAAAUGUUAUAAAACUUUCAACAACGGAUCUCUUGGCUCCUGCAUCGAUGAAGAACGCAGCGAAAUGCGAUAAUUAAUGUGAAUUGCAGAAUUCCGUGAAUCAUCGAGUCUUUGAACGCACAUUGCGCCUCAUGGCAUUCCGUGAGGCAUGCCCAUCUCAGCGUUAGUAAAUACUAUCAAACUUAGGCCUUGUGUUAAAGUUUGGAUCAUGUCGAAGAAGCUAUUGCUAUUAUUGUAAUUGCUCUUUGGAAAUUCAUAGGUCUUCAAGUUGCUAUUAUCGGAGCGUGAUGAAAAUUCCUUCGUUCCAAUGUAGUUGGUUUGUAUAGUCCUAAAAUCUGUGUAUCUUUGGUAUUUCUUAUUGUUUAACCUGAGAUUGGGUAGGGAUACCCGCUGAACUUAAGCAUAUCAAUAAGC
This 554-nucleotide ribosomal RNA is filed under the name Hydnobolites sp. 7 RH-2012. RNAcentral describes it as "eukaryotic LSU rRNA". The stretch from base 153 to 306 matches the Rfam family "5.8S ribosomal RNA". Lineage: Eukaryota; Fungi; Ascomycota; Pezizomycetes; Pezizales; Pezizaceae. The record is from RNAcentral.